GACGAACGCUGGCGGCGUGCCUAAUACAUGCAAGUCGAACGCAGUUGGGACGGGUGAGUAACACGUGGCUAACCUCGCAUCAGAGGGUAUAACCCUUGGAAACAGGUGCUAAACCGAUAUUGGUGGAUGGGCCCGCGGGGCAUUAGCUAGUUGGUGAGGUAACGGCUCACCAAGGCAACGAUGCAUAGCCGAUCUGAGGGGGGGAUGGGCCAAACUGGGACGGAGAAACGGCCCAGACUCCGACGGUAGGCAGCAGGAGGGAAGCUUCGGCAAUGGACGAAAGUCUGACCGAGCAACGCCGCGUGAGUGAAGAAGGGUUUAGGAUCGUAAAACUCUGUUGUUAGAGAAGCGGUAUCUAACCAGAAAGCCACGGCUAACUACGUGCCAGCAGCCGCGGUAAUUC
This 403-nucleotide ribosomal RNA is filed under the name uncultured bacterium. Its description in RNAcentral is "partial 16S ribosomal RNA". It matches the Rfam family "Bacterial small subunit ribosomal RNA", at positions 28 to 526 of the family's 1533-position model. The record is from RNAcentral.